GGAAGUGCCCAAGGCCAGGUUGGAUGGAGCUCUGAACACACAGGGAUCAGCAUCUCAGCUGGGGCUUCUGGAUGCGACUCCACUACAAACAAAAUUAAAACCACCAGUCAGCUGGAAUUAAUAGUAUAUAGGAGCCACACUGUUACUCUGCUCACACACAGAAGGACGUGUAGAGGAUGUUAAAUCCCAGCACAAUGCACUGAGAGAAAUGGAUUUUUCCAUAAUUACCAAACCCCUUAGAUAGCAGCUAUCACCAGGAACCAGGAGAGCUCCUGAAAAUAUUGCUCCAACAUUCCUAAUGGAUGGUUUUCCUCGUGGCUACGUCGGCAAGAGCUCAGUGCCAGCUCCCCCCCUCCUCCUGCACUGCAAUACGUAGGAAGCCUUUAUUCCCAAACGGGAGCGUUUGCUUGCUGACAUCACAUGCGCCAUGAACAAAAGAGAUCCUGAUUACAGCAAGAAAUGAAAUGAAGAACGUGGAAGUAAGGGCUAUGCAGCAGUUUGGUUCAAGCCUGAGCCACGGUAAAAUAUUCCCACUUACUGAGACAGGAAGAUAAAAUUAUCGUGCUGGAUUAAAUCCUUUGUCCUUCAGAUGCAGCCUUUCAUCUCUUGUUGCCACUACAGGAUAAAUGAGAAGUUCAAAGCAGAGCUUUGAUUGUCCUUGACCAAGGACUUUGCGGCAGGUGAGGGCUAAAGCCCCACUCUGGUGUAGCACAGAAAGCUGCAUUUCUCUUCCAGCAUCCACUGCCUGUGUCCUGCUCUGAGCCCGUGGUGAGCACACAGUGCUGCAUCCAACCUCCUUAAAAUUCAGGUACACACAAAGCCAGACGACUGAUCCACAUGCCUGUCAUUAAAUGUGCUGUGCUAGAGGCUCUCAUUUCAUUGUCUUUUUACCCAGUGUGAAAGAGGGUUGUAGCCCACCCACCCCCUCAAAAACAAACAAACAAACAAACAGCCCCAACCCUAAAGCUGAAGCUGUUUGUUAUAGAAAACAUAGAUUUUUUAUUAUAAAAGUACAAUUAUGUCAUACGCAAAGGAAUUUUGUGCCACAGG
Molecule: non-coding RNA, 1050 nt
Organism: Pseudopodoces humilis (Tibetan ground-tit)
Lineage: Eukaryota; Metazoa; Chordata; Aves; Passeriformes; Paridae
Source: RefSeq, a predicted model, not a curated record